CAUGCAGUCGAGCGGCAGCGACAACAUUGAACCUUCGGGGGAUUUGUUGGGCGGCGAGCGGCGGACGGGUGAGUAAUGCCUGGGAAAUUGCCCUGAUGUGGGGGAUAACCAUUGGAAACGAUGGCUAAUACCGCAUGAUAGCUUCGGCUCAAAGAGGGGGACCUUCGGGCCUCUCGCGUCAGGAUAUGCCCAGGUGGGAUUAGCUAGUUGGUGAGGUAAGGGCUCACCAAGGCGACGAUCCCUAGCUGGUCUGAGAGGAUGAUCAGCCACACUGGAACUGAGACACGGUCCAGACUCCUACGGGAGGCAGCAGUGGGGAAUAUUGCACAAUGGGCGCAAGCCUGAUGCAGCCAUGCCGCGUGUAUGAAGAAGGCCUUCGGGUUGUAAAGUACUUUCAGCAGUGAGGAAGGGGAUAUCGUUAAUAGCGGUACUCUUUGACGUUAGCUGCAGAAGAAGCACCGGCUAACUCCGUGCCAGCAGCCGCGGUAAUACGGAGGGUGCGAGCGUUAAUCGGAAUUACUGGGCGUAAAGCGCAUGCAGGUGGUUUGUUAAGUCAGAUGUGAAAGCCCGGGGCUCAACCUCGGAAUUGCAUUUGAAACUGGCAGGCUAGAGUACUGUAGAGGGGGGUAGAAUUUCAGGUGUAGCGGUGAAAUGCGUAGAGAUCUGAAGGAAUACCGGUGGCGAAGGCGGCCCCCUGGACAGAUACUGACACUCAGAUGCGAAAGCGUGGGGAGCAAACAGGAUUAGAUACCCUGGUAGUCCACGCCGUAAACGAUGUCUACUUGGAGGUUGUGGCCUUGAGCCGUGGCUUUCGGAGCUAACGCGUUAAGUAGACCGCCUGGGGAGUACGGUCGCAAGAUUAAAACUCAAAUGAAUUGACGGGGGCCCGCACAAGCGGUGGAGCAUGUG
RNAcentral lists this ribosomal RNA (909 nucleotides) under Vibrio furnissii. RNAcentral describes it as "bacterial SSU rRNA". It matches the Rfam family "Bacterial small subunit ribosomal RNA", at positions 54 to 943 of the family's 1533-position model. The record is from RNAcentral. Lineage: Bacteria; Pseudomonadati; Pseudomonadota; Gammaproteobacteria; Vibrionales; Vibrionaceae.